CAAGAUCACCUCUCAACUUUCUCUUGCAGAGGCUGAAGAGAUCUAGGGCCCUAAAUCUCUCCUCACAAGGUUUUGCCUGCAGUCUCCUAACCAUGCAAGUGGCCGUCCUCUGAACACUCUUGAGGUUGUCCACAUCCCUCUUGAAGAGUGGUACCCAAAUCUGG
Molecule: long non-coding RNA, 164 nt
Organism: Gavialis gangeticus (Gharial)
Lineage: Eukaryota; Metazoa; Chordata; Crocodylia; Gavialidae
Exons: 3
Source: RefSeq, a predicted model, not a curated record